CCUUUUGUAUAAUGGGUCAGCGACUUAUAUUCUGUAGCAAGGUUAACCGAAUAGGGGAGCCGAAGGGAAACCGAGUCUUAACUGGGCGUUAAGUUGCAGGGUAUAGACCCGAAACCCGGUGAUCUAGCCAUGGGCAGGUUGAAGGUUGGGUAACACUAACUGGAGGACCGAACCGACUAAUGUUGAAAAAUUAGCGGAUGACUUGUGGCUGGGGGUGAAAGGCCAAUCAAACCGGGAGAUAGCUGGUUCUCCCCGAAAGCUAUUUAGGUAGCGCCUCGUGAACUCAUCUCCGGGGGUAGAGCACUGUUUCGGCAAGGGGGUCAUCCCGACUUACCAACCCGAUGCAAACUGCGAAUACCGGAGAAUGUUAUCACGGGAGACACACGGCGGGUGCUAACGUCCGUCGUGAAGAGGGAAACAACCCAGACCGCCAGCUAAGGUCCCAAAGUCAUGGUUAAGUGGGAAACGAUGUGGGAAGGCCCAGACAGCCAGGAUGUUGGCUUAGAAGCAGCCAUCAUUUAAAGAAAGCGUAAUAGCUCACUGGUCGAGUCGGCCUGCGCGGAAGAUGUAACGGGGCUAAACCAUGCACCGAAGCUGCGGCAGCGACGCUUAUGCGUUGUUGGGUAGGGGAGCGUUCUGUAAGCCUGUGAAGGUGUGCUGUGAGGCAUGCUGGAGGUAUCAGAAGUGCGAAUGCUGACAUAAGUAACGAUAAAGCGGGUGAAAAGCCCGCUCGCCGGAAGACCAAGGGUUCCUGUCCAACGUUAAUCGGGGCAGGGUGAGUCGACCCCUAAGGCGAGGCCGAAAGGCGUAGUCGAUGGGAAACAGGUUAAUAUUCCUGUACUUGGUGUUACUGCGAAGGGGGGACGGAGAAGGCU
RNAcentral lists this ribosomal RNA (875 nucleotides) under Escherichia coli. Its description in RNAcentral is "partial 23S ribosomal RNA". It matches the Rfam family "Bacterial large subunit ribosomal RNA", at positions 604 to 1483 of the family's 2925-position model. Lineage: Bacteria; Pseudomonadati; Pseudomonadota; Gammaproteobacteria; Enterobacterales; Enterobacteriaceae. The record is from RNAcentral.